RNAcentral lists this long non-coding RNA (1048 nucleotides) under Rhagoletis pomonella (apple maggot). Its description in RNAcentral is "uncharacterized LOC118754675, transcript variant X2". The record is from RNAcentral. Lineage: Eukaryota; Metazoa; Arthropoda; Insecta; Diptera; Tephritidae.
AAAAACUUUGUGAAGUUCCGUACAUGUAGUAUAGUGCACAUGCUUAAAGCAGGGCACAAAAGUUUAAAACGAAUUAUAAAUUGUAAUAUCGCAAUUGUUCAAAGCUUUGUUUUUUCGAAAUUGUUAGUUUUAAUUUUUAUGAUCAUUGAUAAGAUUGCAUUGAUAAGUACUGUUUACAGAGACGUUGACCCGUAUGAUGGUUGCCAGAACGUUUGACAUCGGGAUCUGGCCGGUGCCAUGUGCACCCGGGCGUGCAACGUAUGCGGGUUUCUCGGAAACGGCUAUAGCGAUUUUGAUGAAAUUUUGUAUUCAGACAAUGUUUUGCAUUCUAAGGUUAUCUAAAGAGGUGUUAUGCCCGCGAAUGUUCGUAUAAGGUUACCAUCUAUUCCAAAAUAUUUAUAAAUUAAAUGUUAUUAUAUUAAACGAGCAAUUCUUGUACAUAUGUAAAUAUACAUACAUAUGUAUGUUUAUAUUAUAUCCAUAGGUUUCUCGGAAACGGAUCCAACGAUUUUGACGAAAUUUUGUAUGCAGAUAAUAUUUUGCAUUAUAAGGUUAUCAUCAUGGGUUGCAACCAUUUUCCAUGUCGUAUUUAUUUAAAUUAUUGUUUAGAAAAUAAAGAAACACAAUUACCCUUCAUCAGCACUAAAAAGCAAACAAUCCUUAAAAAAUGUAUAACGCGUCUAAAGCGAUACGAGCCGUGUGCAGACUGACAUUGCGUGCACGUUCAUUUUGUUUCACUGAAAACAUGUGGUACUCCUGCAAGAAGCCUGACCUAUGAUUAUCGGUUAAAUUAGUGGGAAAACUUCGAUAGCAAUUAGGGAAGACAACGAUUAGUUCGAUUAGUUAGUAAUUCGUAAGGUAAUUGUGUCUGAAUUACUUACAAAUGAGGUAGGUAAUUCGCUCUCAAAAUUUUGUGUGGCGAAUUAAAGCUCAGUUAGUCUAGACUUAACUUAAUUUAACUUUCCGUAAGAAAUCAUCAAUUAUUACUCAACACGUGAAUUUAGGCCAACAGCAGAAAUAUUUUGUUUUUGCAUUUUUUUUCAGCUGU